This 23-nucleotide microRNA is filed under the name Sarcophilus harrisii (Tasmanian devil). Its description in RNAcentral is "Sha-Mir-1546_5p (mature (guide))". The record is from RNAcentral. RNAcentral also lists the same sequence under 1 other name. Lineage: Eukaryota; Metazoa; Chordata; Mammalia; Dasyuromorphia; Dasyuridae.
UCAGGGAUUCUCAGGGAUGGAAG